AGUGAACGCUGGCGGUAGGCCUAACACAUGCAAGUCGAACGGCAGCACAGUAAGAGCUUGCUCUUACGGGUGGCGAGUGGCGGACGGGUGAGGAAUACAUCGGAAUCUACUUUUUCGUGGGGGAUAACGUAGGGAAACUUACGCUAAUACCGCAUACGACCUACGGGUGAAAGCAGGGGAUCUUCGGACCUUGCGCGAUUGAAUGAGCCGAUGUCGGAUUAGCUAGUUGGCGGGGUAAGGGCCCACCAAGGCGACGAUCCGUAGCUGGUCUGAGAGGAUGAUCAGCCACACUGGAACUGAGACACGGUCCAGACUCCUACGGGAGGCAGCAGUGGGGAAUAUUGGACAAUGGGCGCAAGCCUGAUCCAGCCAUACCGCGUGGGUGAAGAAGGCCUUCGGGCUGUAAAGCCCUUUUGUUGGGAAAGAAAAGCAGCAGGUUAAUACCCCGCUGUUCUGACGGUACCCAAAGAAUAAGCACCGGCCAACUUCGUG
RNAcentral lists this ribosomal RNA (492 nucleotides) under uncultured bacterium. Its description in RNAcentral is "partial 16S ribosomal RNA". It matches the Rfam family "Bacterial small subunit ribosomal RNA", at positions 29 to 507 of the family's 1533-position model. The record is from RNAcentral.